AUAUAAAAUAAAAUAAAAUAAACAAACAAAAAAAUAUAACUGCCUUACGAGAUGUAACACAUGACUCCUAAGGAGGGAAAAGCAAGUUGGCAACAGGCCCAGGUGAAUACAUACCUAGUGAGCAAAUCACCUCCUUAUGUGAUUACUUAGUGGCUUUUACUGCACUGAUGGGGGGCCAGAGCUUGCUUUUAGUCACACCCAUGAAGUCUGGGUGAGACUCCGUAAUGUAGAGCAAACUUUGACUUUGGGAAUAUUUGCAAUUUGCCUACGAAAAAGAGGUAUUCCAGAGAAGCGACUCAAGACCCCUCCAUAAGGAAUUUGUUGUUGUUGUUGUGAGCCUAAUUGAGGAACGAGGUGAAAACAGGGCUGGGUCCUGGGAACCCUUUACUAAGUCUGCAAAGUGCCCCCCCAUCACCUCUCGAAUUUCAUAUGUUGGACACCAUUCAGUUCCACCGCACACUGGCACACCUUGGUCCUAUAUUGUGCUGAGAUAAAGAUAAUCCGUUUCUGUGCCUCCGUUAGGGUUUAUAAGGAAGUCUGCAGAGCUGGAUGAAAAUGGAAAUGUCCAAUGAGAAAUAAACAUCUUGGUGGCUGUCGCUUGUGGCUGUGACCAGGGCUCUUCCCCAAGUGGAGUGAGGAGGAGGGUGCCCGGGAAUAGGCAACGUUGCCAGGGCCACGGCUGCAGGAUCUUCUGUUUAAUGCGACAAGGGCUGAAUCGUGUUCCCUGAUGCUCCGUGGAUGCGUUGCCAGGAGGAGAUAUGAAGCAGGCUGAGUAUCUUAGAUGUGGUGCCUUAGCCAACAUGCGCUCAGAACCAGAGCCCCUUGGCUUGGGGCCUGGAAUUAAGG
This is a non-coding RNA of Sus scrofa (pig), 846 nucleotides long. The record is from RefSeq and is a predicted model, not a curated record. NCBI's taxonomy places the organism in Eukaryota, Metazoa, Chordata, Mammalia, Artiodactyla, Suidae.